AAUGCCAAUCGAACCUGGAGAUAGCUGGUUCUCUCCGAAAUAGCUUUAGGGCUAGCCUCAAGGUAAGAGUCUUGGAGGUAGAGCACUGAUUGGACUAGGGGCCCUACCGGGUUACCGAAUUCAGUCAAACUCCGAAUGCCAAAGACUUAUCCUUGGGAGUCAGACUGCGAGUGAUAAGAUCCGUAGUCGAAAGGGAAACAGCCCAGACCGCCAGCUAAGGUCCCAA
RNAcentral lists this ribosomal RNA (226 nucleotides) under Bacillus licheniformis. Its description in RNAcentral is "partial 23S ribosomal RNA". It matches the Rfam family "Bacterial large subunit ribosomal RNA", at positions 825 to 1050 of the family's 2925-position model. Lineage: Bacteria; Bacillati; Bacillota; Bacilli; Caryophanales; Bacillaceae. The record is from RNAcentral.